This 329-nucleotide ribosomal RNA is filed under the name uncultured eukaryote. Its description in RNAcentral is "partial 18S ribosomal RNA". It matches the Rfam family "Eukaryotic small subunit ribosomal RNA", at positions 1470 to 1796 of the family's 1831-position model. The record is from RNAcentral.
CCCUUAGAUGUUCUGGGCCGCACGCGCGCUACACUGACGAUGGCAACGAGUUUUUCCUUCGCCGAAAGGUGUGGGUAAUCUUUUGAAACAUCGUCGUGCUGGGGAUAGAUCAUUGCAAUUUUUGAUCUUGAACGAGGAAUUCCUAGUAAGCGCGAGUCAUCAGCUCGCGUUGAUUACGUCCCUGCCCUUUGUACACACCGCCCGUCGCUACUACCGAUUGAAUGGUUUAGUUAGGACUCCUGAUUGGCGCCGCCGCCCCGGCAACGGAGCAGCGGACUGCCGAAAAGUUGUUCAAACUUGAUCAUUUAGAGGAAGUAAAAGUCGUAACA